CCUAUCUGUGCACCCCAUCGAAGUGAGACUUCAUUCUCCCUAUGCUCCUGCUGCAAUGCUCCAACGGCCCCGCCAUCAGAAGCCAUUCCCCACUGCAGUACUCCAACUGCAGUGUGCUCAACUACUGCUUUCUCGUCAUCGCGGAGGCGAUCGCACGGACCUCUGCUACCCUGUGGAAUGGAUACCAUAUAAACGUGCAUCAGAUGUGCAUGUGCUGCAAUUCGUUCAGAUGGCGCAAAUGUGCGUUGCAACGUUCAAACCUGCCUACCGUGGCUUCUCAAUUUUCCAAACUAAAUCAAGCACCAUUCACAUGACUGUAGAGGAUUUUGUAAUUGGAAAUGA
Molecule: long non-coding RNA, 342 nt
Filed under: Volvox carteri
Lineage: Eukaryota; Viridiplantae; Chlorophyta; Chlorophyceae; Chlamydomonadales; Volvocaceae
Description: long non-coding RNA (VCAR_LNC001681)
Source: RNAcentral